This is a long non-coding RNA of Homo sapiens (human), 2004 nucleotides long. Ensembl annotates it as DLGAP1 antisense RNA 3. Its record names the gene DLGAP1-AS3. The record is from Ensembl. NCBI's taxonomy places the organism in Eukaryota, Metazoa, Chordata, Mammalia, Primates, Hominidae.
CUGUGGUCAUCUGCAGCAGAACCAAGGCAGGCCCACAAAAGCUUACUCAUCCAAGUAAAGGGGACCCUCCUGCCCAGUGGGUAACUGCAAGCAUACAGAACCUCCACCACUGUGGUCUACAUCCAAGUGGGGCCAAUGUGAGUCAGUCUCUGAAGUGGCCCCAACAGAAUUGGCUAAGUUAUCCUCAUACAGCUUUAUACCCAUUUAAGUAUUUAUUGGCUUGGAUACAUUAUGCAUGCUAAUUCAGAUUAUACAUUCACUUUUUGAAAACUAUCAUCAGUGCCUGCAUGAGAGAGGGGUGGUCAGAUACCAUGUAAGAAGUGAGAAGGACAAUCUCUGCAAUCGGCUGUUUUUGAAACCUUACAGAGUAUUUUUCCUUCAGUGAGUUUGGCCUGCCCUGACCUCUGCAAUAGUUGCUGUUAAUGGGAAUUAGAUUUGUAAUUCCUCAAACACUGCCCCUUCCUUCUGCUUCUGUCUUCCCAUCAUUUUUAAAGUGCCUUAUUCUGACUCUUCACACAUCUAGCAAUCUGACCCUUUUAACUUUUUUCAUUUUGGAACUGGUUUUUAUUGUCUUUUAGAAUUCUACCCCCAGUCUUAAAUUUUAAACAAACAAAUCCACAUCCAGUCAACUUUCUGAAAUAUUUUUUGCUGUGAUAGAGAAGGAAGUAUGAUGGCAUUCAUUGUUUCUGGAUUAAAGUAUUUUUGUUUGUAUUACAUUUUAUUUUUUUAGGGACAGGGUCUUGCUGUAUCACCCAAGGUGGAGUGCAUUGGCAUAAUCAUGGCUCACUGCAGACUUGAACUCCUGGGCGCAAGCAAUCCUCUCAUCUCAGCCUCCCAAAGUGCUGGAAUUACAGAUGUGCACCACUGCGCCAGCUUAUUUCUGGAUUAAGUUUUGGCAGAUAAGAGUGUUGGCCUCACACAGGCCGCAUCUGUCCUGGGGCUCAUUUGUCCUUCUUCAACCUCCUCCACAGUUAGAGGCUCCUGAACUACAAUGGCAACGAUUGAAGAAACUGUUGUUGAAAAGUCCACGCCAAAUUCUCGGUAUGUCACUGAAGACAAGGACAUUUUGGGUAGAACCAGGCUGCUAAUCCACUCUUGCCAGGAGGGAAGAUUUUUUCUCUUUCUGUAGUGAGCAACAACGCCACUCGAUGAAGAAACUGAGGUUCAUGGAAGUUAAAUAACUUGCCCACAGGGCACAACUAGUAGGCAGCUAAGCUAGGACUUCAACUGAGGUCUGUAAGACUUAAAGCACAUGCUAUUCCUGCUCCUCAAUAGCUUUCCUGCUAAGCACCAAGAGACGCUAGGCUGCCAGGAACAUCACAGCAGAGACCACCGUCAAUCAAUGCAUCUCCACCGUCUUUUAGACAUUCUUUUGAAGAAAGAUUUAGCUGCUAAAAGAAAAGAUGAAUAUACAAAAAGGAUAAUACUACCAUAUUUCAUCAUAUUGUCUCGUUUUAAUACAAGAAGACUCAUCCAGCUUAAACAUUUGAUGUUUAAGAAGCUAACCAGCAAGCUGCCCUCUGGGAAUGCAUACCAUCAGGUAUGGAUCAGUGGCCCUGAGAUCAUGUUCAUAACUCAGCAGCUUUGUACAAGCUGUCAAGACUCAGAACAUGGUACCCCAAAGUAUGGCACCUUGGUGUGCUGAGUACUGUGGACUGAAGGACAUCGGAAAUGUCUCAGAAGCUAUGUCUCUUUGACCUUCUCCCAGCCUCCUGUCUCCUACCUGUCUUUCUCCCUUGAAGUGAGUCAUGGCAACCAUAAUUCCUCUUUCCCAAGGUGUGUCACAGAAACUAGAACCCCUCUCCUCCAAGGGAAGCCGUGAAACCUAGAAAGGUCACUCUCUGCCUUCCCCCUUCUCCCUUGAAGACCCUCAUUCCAGAGGGGCCCUGCCCCAUAUUCAGGAGGGUUACACAAAGAGGUUAAGAAGAAUUUGAACAUUCAGGCCUUGCUGGGUUCCCUGCUCAGUCUAUCAGCAUUAGAUCACACCCUUUAGUCCAUCACAUU